Molecule: ribosomal RNA, 427 nt
Filed under: uncultured bacterium
Lineage: Bacteria
Description: partial 16S ribosomal RNA
Rfam family: Bacterial small subunit ribosomal RNA
Source: RNAcentral
UGGGGAAUAUUGCACAAUGGGCGCAAGCCUGAUGCAGCCAUGCCGCGUGUAUGAAGAAGGCCUUCGGGUUGUAAAGUACUUUCAGCGAGGAGGAAGGCGUUGUGGUUAAUAACCGCAGCGAUUGACGUUACUCGCAGAAGAAGCACCGGCUAACUCCGUGCCAGCAGCCGCGGUAAUACGGAGGGUGCAAGCGUUAAUCGGAAUUACUGGGCGUAAAGCGCACGCAGGCGGGGUGUCAAGUCGGAUGUGAAAUCCCCGGGCUCAACCUGGGAACUGCAUCCGAAACUGGCAGGCUAGAGUCUUGUAGAGGGGGGUAGAAUUCCAGGUGUAGCGGUGAAAUGCGUAGAGAUCUGGAGGAAUACCGGUGGCGAAGGCGGCCCCCUGGACAAAGACUGACGCUCAGGUGCGAAAGCGUGGGGAGCAAACA